GGUGUGACCAUCUGAAAUCGCAAAACUUGUGCAGCACACCAGGUCAUCGCCCUCUGGGCCACCACAAUCACAAAGUUUUCCAACUGGUUUUUCAGUACAGUUCUUUUUCGCUGUUGGAGCUAGAAACAAGAAUUUUGCUGCACCUGCAAUAAGCUCUGCAAAUAUGUUUGGCUAAUAGAUACUGGGUGCCCCAUGUCAAGAAUAAACUACCAUUCGACCCAAAGGUCUUGGAGGAUGUCUAUGAGAAAGAGAUUCUAAAGUCCGUGUUUGCCAUUAGGAAGAUCAUGUUACUGGAGAUCAGGUGGAUUUUUGACCCUUUUUAAUGUGGCCUCAAUACAUUAUCAAUGAUAAUAAUUUAUCAUCAGAGAGAACGUCCCUGCCUGUGAGGUGUUUAAGAAGGUGCCAAGCCACUUCCCCUACUUAUUUAAGUGUGUGAUGGAGGAUAUGUCUCUGAAGGAACAGACUGUACUGUUGGUCUUCCUCCACCACUGCUUCAACAGCCUGGACAAUGACCAACACACCUCCAAGCUGUGUAAGGGCUAUUUGACGAAGAAGAGUGAUGGCAGUGCUGCAUCAGAUGACCUGGCCUCAACAAUCACCCGAC
This is a non-coding RNA of Salmo salar (Atlantic salmon), 604 nucleotides long. The record is from RefSeq and is a predicted model, not a curated record. NCBI's taxonomy places the organism in Eukaryota, Metazoa, Chordata, Actinopteri, Salmoniformes, Salmonidae.